This is a long non-coding RNA of Musca domestica (house fly), 1849 nucleotides long. RefSeq lists it as uncharacterized. The transcript is spliced from 5 exons. NCBI's taxonomy places the organism in Eukaryota, Metazoa, Arthropoda, Insecta, Diptera, Muscidae. The record is from RefSeq and is a predicted model, not a curated record.
UAUCACUAACAUCGAUGUUUUUCUCGAUAGUCUGGUAAUGUGCAGUACAUUUAGACAUAUGAAAAAUGUUAGAGGGAACUACCUAUAAUCUGUGCACAUUACCAAACUAUCUUUAUUGUUAUGUUGAUUUGUAUUGAAGAACAGGACACCGAAGUUUGGACAAAAACACGAAUUGUAUGGAUGAGAGAACAGCUUUUGAAAAAUGAAAAUUGGUUAAUAAAAAGAAAAUGCGAAAUAUGCAUCGGAUGUUGGAGGGAAAUAUUGUAAUUGUUGAUUUGCAUUGAAGAACAGGACACCGGAAGCUUGGACAGAAACACGAAUUGUAUUGCCAUGGAUGGGAGAAAAACUCUUGAAAAAUGAAAAUUGGAUAAUAAAAAGAAAAUGCGAAAUAUGCAUCGGAUGUUGGAGGGAAAUUUUGUAAUUGUUGAUUUGUAUUGAAGAACAGGACACCGGAAGCUUGGACAGAAACACGAAUUGUAUUGCCAUGGAUGGGAUAAUAAAAACAAAAUACGAAAUAUGCAUCGGAUUCUCUUCAAAUGUUACGCAUCCUAAUAUUGAUGACACAUGAUCGGUGUGAAAAUGGGAUAUAUGUUCAACCUCCUCCACAACGAGUCAGCAUUUUGAUUAACAGAGCGGUGAUAAAAAGCAUUGAAGAACAAGACACCUGGAGCUUAGAAACUUGAAAAUUGCACAAUGAAAACAAAAUGCGAAAUAUGCAUCGGAUUCUCUUUAUUUUACGCAUCCCAAUAUUGAUGACACAUGAUCGGUGUGAAGAUGGGAUAUAUAUAGAACUAAAUGGUAAUAAAAGGCAAAAUAAGCAUCCGAAUCUCUUCAAAUUUUACACUUCGGAACAACAAGAUGUGGUAUGAAGAUGUUGGAUAUUGGUCUUAUUCUGGUACCUCCGCCACAAAUGAUCACAAUUUUAAAUACUUAUAGCUCUCAUAACAUGCGGAACAAGUCAGUGAUUCUAUGUGAACUUGGUAUAUUAAAAUAUUUCUGUCAACCAGAGAUCAAUAGUGGAAUUUUGUUUUGAGUUACCGACAAAAGUCAGUGAAAUUGAAAUGCUUAUAAUGUCGGUAAUUACGAGUUUUUUUUCGGAAAGUUAGCGAUGAAAUCAAAGUAGUAUGUAAGACCUACCAAUGUUGUCAACUUUAACUUAUUGUUUAUAUCCAGAUUUUGGAUUUCGAAGUUAAAGAUUUUUGUCGGUAACUCAAAAAAUGAGUUAGAGAAUCCCACUAUUGAUGUGAAUAUAAGAUUUAUCAGCCUUUUGCUAUGUCCGCCACAAAAAAUUUAAAUCUAUAAAUAUAAGCAUAAAAUUGAUAAUAAAUGUUCGUUUUUCUUUAAAGUUUGCACUAUUCUUAUCCAUAUUGGAUUAGGUGGGACACUUCGGCCAACUAUGUAUGUUACAUCCAGCACAUUUCAACAUUUUCGACAAUUAUCACAUAUCUAUCUUAUGUGUAGUAGAGGAAGUACUCAAUGUAUGCUCUGUUACAGAAAUGCAAGGAUUUAAAACUAUUUAAUAAGAUAACUAAUUUUCCUUUGAGGUAUUGAAAAAAAGCAAAAACCAGUAAAUGAUUGCUGGGUUUGGAACAGACAAAAAGUCCAAAUCUGGCACGUUGUUAGGAUAAUAUUGUCCUAUUCUUUCGGAACCUUUCCAAGUCAAGCAUGUUGAAAUAUGUAUUUGAGUAAACGGACAUUGAGGGUAUACAUCUGUCCAUAGAACCGACUGAUACUUUUUAACUUGUUUUUUAUAUUGCACACAAUUUUUUCAAUUUGAUAUACCAAAUCGUAUAUUGUACAUUUUGUAUUUUUUAAGUCUUUUCGCAAAAGUGUAGAAAAUCAAAUUAGU